UACGUAGGGUGCAAGCGUUGUCCGGAAUUAUUGGGCGUAAAGAGCUCGUAGGCGGUUCGUCGCGUCGGCUGUGAAAACCUGAGGCUCAACCUCAGGCCUGCAGUCGAUACGGGCGGACUUGAGUACUGCAGGGGAGACUGGAAUUCCUGGUGUAGCGGUGAAAUGCGCAGAUAUCAGGAGGAACACCAAUGGCGAAGGCAGAUCUCUGGGCCGUAACUGACGCUGAGGAGCGAAAGCAUGGGGAGCGAACAGG
Molecule: ribosomal RNA, 253 nt
Filed under: uncultured bacterium
Lineage: Bacteria
Description: partial 16S ribosomal RNA
Rfam family: Bacterial small subunit ribosomal RNA
Source: RNAcentral